AGUGAACGCUGGCGGUAGGCCUAACACAUGCAAGUCGAACGGCAGCACAGUAAGAGCUUGCUCUUACGGGUGGCGAGUGGCGGACGGGUGAGGAAUACAUCGGAAUCUACUUUUUCGUGGGGGAUAACGUAGGGAAACUUACGCUAAUACCGCAUACGACCUACGGGUGAAAGCAGGGGAUCUUCGGACCUUGCGCGAUUGAAUGAGCCGAUGUCGGAUUAGCUAGUUGGCGGGGUAAAGGCCCACCAAGGCGACGAUCCGUAGCUGGUCUGAGAGGAUGAUCAGCCACACUGGAACUGAGACACGGUCCAGGCUCCUACGGGAGGCAGCAGUGGGGAAUAUUGGACAAAGGGCGCAAUCCUGAUCCAGCCAUACCGCGUGGGUGAAGAAGGCCUUCGGGUUGUAAAGCCCUUUUGUUGGGAAAGAAAAGCAGCAGGUUAAUACCCCGCUGUUCUGACGGUACCCAAAGAAUAAGCACCGGCUAACUUCGUG
RNAcentral lists this ribosomal RNA (492 nucleotides) under uncultured bacterium. Its description in RNAcentral is "partial 16S ribosomal RNA". It matches the Rfam family "Bacterial small subunit ribosomal RNA", at positions 29 to 507 of the family's 1533-position model. The record is from RNAcentral.